Molecule: unclassified non-coding RNA, 520 nt
Filed under: uncultured Entrophospora
Lineage: Eukaryota; Fungi; Glomeromycota; Glomeromycetes; Entrophosporales; Entrophosporaceae
Description: SSU rRNA
Rfam family: Eukaryotic small subunit ribosomal RNA
Source: RNAcentral
AGCAGCCGCGGUAAUUCCAGCUCCAAUAGCGUAUAUUAAAGUUGUUGCAGUUAAAAGCUCGUAGUUGAAUUUCGGGAUUGGCGCAUCGGUCGUGCCUCGCGGGGUAUGAACUGGUGCAGUCAAUUUCUCACCUUCUGGAGAACCGCGAUGUCCUUAAUUGGAUGCCGCGGGGAACCAGGACCUUUACUUUGAAAAAUUAGAGUGUUUAAAGCAGGCAUUUUUGCUUGAAUACAUUAGCAUGGAAUAAUAAAAUAGGACGGCAUGGUUCUAUUUUGUUGGUUUCUAGGACCACCGUAAUGAUUAAUAGGGAUAGUUGGGGGCAUUAGUAUUCAAUUGUCAGAGGUGAAAUUCUUGGAUUUAUUGAAGACUAACUACUGCGAAAGCAUUUGCCAAGGAUGUUUUCAUUAAUCAAGAACGAAAGUUAGGGAUCGAAGACGAUCAGAUACCGUCGUAGUCUUAACCAUAAACUAUGCCGACUAGGAAUCAGACGAUGUUAAUUUUUAAUGACUCGUUUGGCACC